This 451-nucleotide ribosomal RNA is filed under the name uncultured crenarchaeote. Its description in RNAcentral is "bacterial SSU rRNA". It matches the Rfam family "Archaeal small subunit ribosomal RNA", at positions 452 to 903 of the family's 1478-position model. Lineage: Archaea; Thermoproteati; Thermoproteota. The record is from RNAcentral.
CUGGUGUCAGCCGCCGCGGUAAAACCAGCACCUCAAGUGGUCAGGAUGAUUAUUGGGCCUAAAGCAUCCGUAGCCGGCUCUGUAAGUUUUCGGUUAAAUCUGUACGCUUAACGUACAGGCUGCCGGGAAUACUGCAAAGCUAGGGAGUGGGAGAGGUAGACGGUACUCGGUAGGAAGUGGUAAAAUGCUUUGAUCUAUCGAUGACCACCUGUGGCGAAGGCGGUCUACCAGAACACGUCCGACGGUGAGGGAUGAAAGCUGGGGGAGCAAACCGGAUUAGAUACCCGGGUAGUCCCAGCUGUAAACUAUGCAAACUCAGUGAUGCAUUGGCUUGUGGCCAAUGCAGUGCUGCAGGGAAGCCGUUAAGUUUGCCGCCUGGGAAGUACGUACGCAAGUAUGAAACUUAAAGGAAUUGGCGGGGGAGCACCACAAGGGGUGAAGCCUGCGGUUC